This 22-nucleotide microRNA is filed under the name Homo sapiens (human). RNAcentral describes it as "hsa-miR-4752". Lineage: Eukaryota; Metazoa; Chordata; Mammalia; Primates; Hominidae. The record is from miRBase by way of RNAcentral.
UUGUGGAUCUCAAGGAUGUGCU